RNAcentral lists this ribosomal RNA (253 nucleotides) under uncultured bacterium. RNAcentral describes it as "partial 16S ribosomal RNA". It matches the Rfam family "Bacterial small subunit ribosomal RNA", at positions 524 to 776 of the family's 1533-position model. The record is from RNAcentral.
GACAAACCGUGCAAACGUUGUUCGGAAUCACUGGGCUUAAAGGGCGCGUAGGCGGCUCACCAAGUCGGGGGUGAAAUCUUUCGGCUUAACCGGAAAAGUGCUUUCGAUACUGGUGGGCUUGAGCGAGGUAGGGGCAUGCGGAACUUCCGGUGGAGCGGUGAAAUGCGUUGAUAUCGGAAGGAACGCCGGUGGCGAAAGCGGCGUGCUGGACCUCUUCUGACGCUGAGGCGCGAAAGCUAGGGGAGCGAACGGG